This 253-nucleotide ribosomal RNA is filed under the name uncultured bacterium. Its description in RNAcentral is "partial 16S ribosomal RNA". It matches the Rfam family "Bacterial small subunit ribosomal RNA", at positions 524 to 776 of the family's 1533-position model. The record is from RNAcentral.
UACGAAGGGGGCUAGCGUUGCUCGGAAUCACUGGGCGUAAAGGGCGCGUAGGCGGCCUGGUCAGUCGGUGGUGAAAGCCUGUGGCUCAACCACAGAAUGGCCUUCGAUACUGUCGGGCUUGAGACCGGAAGAGGUAAGUGGAACUGCGAGUGUAGAGGUGAAAUUCGUAGAUAUUCGCAAGAACACCAGUGGCGAAGGCGGCUUACUGGGCCGGAACUGACGCUGAGGCGCGAAAGCGUGGGGAGCAAACAGG